Molecule: ribosomal RNA, 492 nt
Filed under: uncultured bacterium
Lineage: Bacteria
Description: partial 16S ribosomal RNA
Rfam family: Bacterial small subunit ribosomal RNA
Source: RNAcentral
AGUGAACGCUGGCGGUAGGCCUAACACAUGCAAGUCGAACGGCAGCACAGUAAGAGCUUGCUCUUACGGGUGGCGAGUGGCGGACGGGUGAGGAAUACAUCGGAAUCUACUUUUUCGUGGGGGAUAACGUAGGGAAACUUACGCUAAUACCGCAUACGACCUACGGGUGAAAGCAGGGGAUCUUCGGACCUUGCGCGAUUGAAUGAGCCGAUGUCGGAUUAGCUAGUUGGCGGGGUAAAGGCCCACCAAGGCGACGAUCCGUAGCUGGUCUGAGAGGAUGAUCAGCCACACUGGAACUGAGACACGGUCCAGACUCCUACGGGAGGCAGCAGUGGGGAAUAUUGGACAAUGGGCGAAAGCCUGAUCCAGCCAUACCGCGUGCGUGAAGAAGGACUUCGGGUUGUAAAGACCUUUUGUUAGGCAAGAAAAGCAGCAGGUUAAUACCCUGCUGUUCUGACGGUACCAAAAGAAUAAGCACCGGCUAACUUCGUG